Raphanus sativus (radish) is the source of this 908-nucleotide long non-coding RNA. RefSeq lists it as uncharacterized. The transcript is spliced from 6 exons. NCBI's taxonomy places the organism in Eukaryota, Viridiplantae, Streptophyta, Magnoliopsida, Brassicales, Brassicaceae. The record is from RefSeq and is a predicted model, not a curated record.
CUACCGACAGAAAGAGAUAACAUUCUCUUUUCUUUUGGACAGAUCGAAACAAAAAAAAGUGUCUCUCCGAUGGCGAUUCAAGUCGCGAUGAGAUUCUACGAAAAUCGAAUAGCCAUCGACUCGUUCUUCUCUGAUGUAAACCGGGAUGACAUAUGUUUCAAGAAGAAGCUAUUACACGUCAACACUAAGGAAAAUUAGCUUACUGAACGAUAUCAAAUCUUAGAAGGAGAAAACUCAGAAUAUCUUCAAGAACACAGAAGUAUCACUAUAAGGAGAGUGAAAGCAGCGUGAAGGAAAUAGGAAGAAAAUAGACAGAUAAGUACCGACAAACUAAUGCAGCUAUAUUGUAAUGUUAUCUUUACAAACAAAUUUAUAAUCUUGGAAAAAAUGAAUUAUAACGAAGGUAUCUAACUGAAAAUUGUUUCAGGUUGAUUGAAAUAUCACAUGUAACUGCACGUGUUCAAACAUAUACACCAUGUAAAAAGUCACUUCAAUAAGAUAAGUCGAAAAAAUUAUUACAUGAAACAUUCUUUAUGUUCUUCUGUUAAUGUUUUUUUUCUUUUGUAGGGUCUUUAAAAUUUAUGACUGAAUCAUCAGAAAUAAAUGGAAGCAAAGAUAAAAUUUCAAAUAGUCAGAAGGUUUUGCAUCAGAAGCGAGCAGAAGAGAAGACAUGUAAAGACAAUAUGAGACAUCCAAGAAGUUUUUAAGUUUAACAAACAAAAGUUCACAAUGGCAGGAUGAAGAUGUGAUGAAUAAUGUGGUAUGAUAUUAUAAGCUAAGGUGACUUAUUUCUUUAAUACAGGCAUGUUUAAAAUGUAAUUGAGGCAUUAGUUUCAUAUGUAUAAUAUGUGACAUGUUUAGAAAUAGCUGGUUGCUCAUAUCUUAUUAUAUAAAGGAUAAUUUAUAUA